AAAUUGAAGAGUUUGAUCAUGGCUCAGAUUGAACGCUGGCGGCAGGCCUAACACAUGCAAGUCGAACGGUAGCACAGAGAGCUUGCUCUCGGGUGACGAGUGGCGGACGGGUGAGUAAUGUCUGGGAAACUGCCCGAUGGAGGGGGAUAACUACUGGAAACGGUAGCUAAUACCGCAUAACGUCGCAAGACCAAAGUGGGGGACCUUCGGGCCUCACACCAUCGGAUGUGCCCAGAUGGGAUUAGCUAGUAGGUGGGGUAACGGCUCACCUAGGCGACGAUCCCUAGCUGGUCUGAGAGGAUGACCAGCCACACUGGAACUGAGACACGGUCCAGACUCCUACGGGAGGCAGCAGUGGGGAAUAUUGCACAAUGGGCGCAAGCCUGAUGCAGCCAUGCCGCGUGUAUGAAGAAGGCCUUCGGGUUGUAAAGUACUUUCAGCGAGGAGGAAGGCGUUGUGGUUAAUAACCACAGCGAUUGACGUUACUCGCAGAAGAAGCACCGGCUAACUCCGUGCCAGCAGCCGCGGUAAUACGGAGGGUGCAAGCGUUAAUCGGAAUUACUGGGCGUAAAGCGCACGCAGGCGGUUUGUUAAGUCAGAUGUGAAAUCCCCGGGCUCAACCUGGGAACUGCAUUUGAAACUGGCAAGCUUGAGUCUCGUAGAGGGGGGUAGAAUUCCAGGUGUAGCGGUGAAAUGCGUAGAGAUCUGGAGGAAUACCGGUGGCGAAGGCGGCCCCCUGGACAAAGACUGACGCUCAGGUGCGAAAGCGUGGGGAGCAAACAGGAUUAGAUACCCUGGUAGUCCACGCCGUAAACGAUGUCUACUUGGAGGUUGUGCCCUUGAGGCGUGGCUUCCGGAGCUAACGCGUUAAGUAGACCGCCUGGGGAGUACGGCCGCAAGGUUAAAACUCAAAUGAAUUGACGGGGGCCCGCACAAGCGGUGGAGCAUGUGGUUUAAUUCGAUGCAACGCGAAGAACCUUACCUGGUCUUGACAUCCACGGAAGUUUUCAGAGAUGAGAAUGUGCCUUCGGGAACCGUGAGACAGGUGCUGCA
RNAcentral lists this ribosomal RNA (1053 nucleotides) under Salmonella enterica subsp. enterica serovar Kentucky. RNAcentral describes it as "bacterial SSU rRNA". It matches the Rfam family "Bacterial small subunit ribosomal RNA", at positions 1 to 1045 of the family's 1533-position model. Lineage: Bacteria; Pseudomonadati; Pseudomonadota; Gammaproteobacteria; Enterobacterales; Enterobacteriaceae. The record is from RNAcentral.